Molecule: ribosomal RNA, 468 nt
Filed under: uncultured bacterium
Lineage: Bacteria
Description: partial 16S ribosomal RNA
Rfam family: Bacterial small subunit ribosomal RNA
Source: RNAcentral
GACGAACGCUGGCGGCGUGCUUAACACAUGCAAGUCGAACGGAAAGGCCCUGCUUUUGUGGGGUGCUCUAGUGGCGAACGGGUGAGUAACACGUGAGUAACCUGCUCUUUACUUUGGGAUAACUUCAGGAAACUGGGGCUAAUACUGGAUAGUAGCUCCUGCUGCAUGGUGGGGGUUGGAAUGUUUCGGCGGUUGGGGAUUGACUCGCGGCUUAUCAGCUUGUUGGUGGGGUAGUGGCAUACCAAGGCUUUGACGGGUAGCCGUCCUGGGAGGGUGACCGGCCACAUUGGGACUGAGAUACGGAGCAGACUCGAACAGGAGGCAGCGGUGGGGAAUAUUACACAGUGGGCGGAAGCGUAAUGCAGAGACGCCGCGGGCGGGAUGACGGCCUUGGGGUUGGAAAGCGAUUUCGGCUGUGACGAAGCGUGAGUGACGGUAAUGGGUGAAGAAGCACCGGCUAACUACGUG